Molecule: long non-coding RNA, 507 nt
Organism: Manihot esculenta (cassava)
Lineage: Eukaryota; Viridiplantae; Streptophyta; Magnoliopsida; Malpighiales; Euphorbiaceae
Exons: 2
Source: RefSeq, a predicted model, not a curated record
UUCGUUGAUCUAUCCACUUUUAGUUUAUUAAAAACUUCAUAAAUAAAUAUAGAUUAUUUCGAGAGUUCAUAAAACUUGGAAGGGGAUGGACUGUGAAAGGGAGAUGGACGAAAUAAGGGACAGUGAAUUAAUCACGUGAACCGGGAUGAAUUGAUGGAGCAGUGUGCUUGUGGUUGAAGGUCCUGUAACAAAGAUGGAUUUGACAUCUGCUUUGUUUGUCUUUCCUUUUUGUUUUUUUAGUUUGUGUGUAUAGUCUGUUGGAGUUUAUAGUUCGAUUCUGUUUUGGCCUUGCAUGUUGGGUAGCAAGUAAGCUAUUAUUUCUGAUGUCUACCACCUGUUCGUUGUAAUGUCACAAUGACAUUUUCUGGCCUUUCCAGCUUUUUUAGUCUAUUUUUAUGUGCCAUCUUCACCAAUGUAUAUAUCUUUGGCCACGUUUGCCCCCUUUUGGUAAGUUUAUGGGCUGAGCAUGUGAAAUAAUACAAACUGCUUCUUGUGUUUAGUUUGAAA